Mus musculus (house mouse) is the source of this 12767-nucleotide long non-coding RNA. RefSeq annotates it as predicted gene, 46358. The transcript has 2 exons. NCBI's taxonomy places the organism in Eukaryota, Metazoa, Chordata, Mammalia, Rodentia, Muridae. The record is from RefSeq and is a predicted model, not a curated record.
GUCCACCAGCUUGUUGCAGCGGCCCUGAAAGCCUCCUUCAAACCGCAUCUGCCGGCUUGUCACCCAUUGCUGAGAAAAGACACGGUAGAGCUCUCUGGGGACUGGGGACCAUGUGACUUCUCCCACCUGGCUAUCCAUUCGGCCGUGCCUUCAAAGAGGUCUGGAGUGAUGAUGUUGGUGAGAGAGGCUACCGAGGCAGCACAGUAUGCACUCCUGCAAAGACGGAAACAGGGAAACACAUUAGGCUCCAAGGAAAAGCCAGAACGAGGCCCAGAAAAAUGCCUGGGUACAUUACUGCAGUCACAUCUCAUUCUUGGCACACAGCUGUUCUUCUUGGGUCUCCGAGAGGUGUGACAUUCUGUCUGGAUGGAGUUGCUCACGACACGGCUUCAGUGAAGGAACAUGGCAUUCUCUGUCUCCGCACAGGCAUACUACAGCCUCAGAAUUGAUGGUCAUAUCAAUUCAUCUCAAAAAUAGAUUGAGCCCUUUUUCCAAAGACCUACCAACGGUUCCCACAUCUCAUCUGGUGUUGAUGAGGUUCGUUCGGAUGUCUCACUGCUACGGACUCAGGACCUCUGUCUGAACUCACUCCGAAGCAGGCCACCACACUCUACUAGCUGCUCAAGCCACACAAGAGAGACAGGAAUUGGUACAUCCUUAUGCCUCUAGAGAAAAGAGCUCUGAUUUCAAGUGUUGUCAUCAGAUACGCAGAAACACACCUUUCAGCAAAAAAAAAAAAAAAAAAAAAAAAAAAAAAAAGUAGGAACAGUGCUUUGGAUAUGGCUCAGUUGGUAAAGUGCUUACCAAGCACGCACAAAGCCCUAGUUGUGCAAAACUGGUCAUGGUAAUGUAUGCCCUAAUCUCAACACUCAAGAGGCAGAGGCAGGGGGAUGGCAAGUUCAAGGUUAUUCUCAACUUGAGAUACAUGAGAUACUGUUUCAAACGGAAAACAUAAGAAGGUAGCCCUGUCUUUCCGGAAGGCAGGGUAGUUCUGGGGAUCUAACUCAGGGCUGUGCACACGCCAUGAGCAUUCUCUUCCACUAAGCUCUAUUUCCAGCUAUCUGAAAAUGAGCAAAUAAAAUAAAAUAAAAUAUGAUUUGAGAUACUCUUGUCAUUCUAUUCGUUCAGUCAUAAGUCUCAGGACAUUCAUCUUCUCCACCUGUCAUGGAACCCAUUCAUACAGUCUUUUCCAAUACCCACCAUGGAAAGUCAAAAAUUAUUUCUUUGAAUUCUACUUACAAAUCCUGACUCUAAGAGCUCAGAAGGAACAGGAGAGGGAAGGAAAAGAAAGCUUGGCUCCCAUCUUAUUCUAUGUAUAGACUUAACAUGAAGCCAACCUUACUGAGGCAUUCUAUAGAAAUCUCUGCAGAAGCCACGGGCUUGAAUGUCCUAUCAGCAUUUAUGACCGGCCAGGCUUCCACUGGCCAAAGGCACAGCAGAGGUUGAGCUGCGCCAGCAGGCAUCCUGAGUGCACAAGAGAGAGUCAAGUGUGCCGAGGGCCAAAUGCUGUCGUUUACCAUAUGCUAACUUUGAAGGUAUGAUCUAAUUUCCUCCAGGCCUUGAGCUGCUCACAAAGGCCCAGCACUGUUUUCGGAGGCUCUUGAAUCCUAAUGAGGUAGGGAGGGGGCCUGUAAUGCAGUCUGCCUUUCAUCAGAACUGACAGGGGAGGCAGUUGUGGAAUUCUGUCCUCCAGGGUGUGACGUGGCUGCUACAGUCUUGAAAUCAGAGCAGUUGUGAUGACUUCAAUAGAUCCUCACAAGAUAGUGUCUAUUAAUAUUCCUGUGUAGGAGGAGGGUGGGGGCGGGGCAUCAGACCCUUAUUGGAGACACUGGCCACUUCUUUUCUGAAACCUGCUUCCCCACUAGGUGUAUGUAAUCCUGACCUGAGCUGUACGUGGUCUUAGGUGCUAGAGAGUAUGUAGGAGGUAGAAGAUUGCUUGGGGUGAGGAUCUGAAUAAAGCAGCUAUCAUGACUAAACUGUUUCUUUGGCCUGUUAUUUUCCAAUCUACUGAGGGUGAACAGAAAUUCGCCUCCUAGGACAAGACAAUCAGCAACUAGUGGCCGGGCAGGGGAUGAAUGGAACCAGAGAUGAGUUGAGGGCAGUACAGUUACAUGGCCUCUGCUAAAGGAGAUGGGCUAGCAACUGAGGCUGAGCCAUCUGAGGGAAGAGCAUCCAGGGGGCGCUCCAAUGUGGCCUUCUUUCCCCAUGUGGUCUGGAUAAGCAUGUCUCCAUGCUGGAACAGCAAGUGAAGCCUCCCCAAUAAUGAUGUAAGACAUGAAACAGAAGCUGAGCUGUCUAACCCAAAGUCUGCAGGGGAGAUCCCAGGGCAACUGUCCUCCUCUCUACUCCUUGAUGUGACACAGGGUGACAGGCUUCUUGAUGUCUGUAUUAGAGACACCCUCAGAUGGUUGAUGGACCCAAGAAUAAAUCACCAUCCCUGACGCCUCCAUGUACGGAUGGAAUAGGACAGCCAAGAAAACCAAGACUGUGGCCGAUGAGACAAGCAGCAGAAACUGAGCUGUCUGCCCGGAGGAUGGAAUCUGCUCACGGGAGGGAGGAGUUAGAGUGGGAUGGGGCAUGUGGGUGUUGUACUCCAUGUUAGCCUUCCAGCAGGAUGCCCUAGCCUAGAUAAAGACAAGAGGGAGAGGUGCUGGCUUGCCACUGCUUAGGGCUGGAGCAAACAAUGGGAAAGUGUAAAUUGGAUCUGUACAAAUAACCCUCUGCAAUCCAAGAGUCUGGAACGCGUGGGAAAAAUCAAACAGGGAAACGAGGUAGAAACGAUAGCAAGGGAAGGAGGCCUGGGAGAGGAGCAGGUGAGAGUUCUGUGUGUUCAGCAGGGAGCUAAGAAGGACAUUAAAGCAGUGGGCGCCUUGGGACUGGGUUAUGGGUCUUUUGAGGUUUGCCAGUGACCACGCUGUGUAAUGAUCUCUGUGAGGAAGGAGAGGUGCUGGUGGACCUGGGUAAUUUAGACUGGCAUGUCCAUCUGGUUUGUAAAGGGCUAAAGCCAUCAAGAGGAGGUUUGAAAAAGAAAAACCAGAUAAAACGGCCUGUUCGUGUCCGGGUCACUUGAAAGCAAAUGAGGCAAAAAUCUGUGUUCACAUGGAAUUCGUAAAAAAGCUGACAGAAAGUCAAAUACAUUAUGAGCUUCUAGUAUAGUGUUUCUCAACCUGUAGGUCGAGACCUCCUUGGGGUCCAACAACCCUUUCACAGAGCUCACCUAAGAUCAUCAGAAAACACAGAUGAUUUGCAUUACAAUUCAUAACAGCAGCAAAAUCAUGGUUAUGAAGAAGCAACAAAAAUAAUGUUAAGGUUGGGGGGUCACCACAACAUGAGGAACCAUUCCCUAAAGUGGAAGAGGACAGUGGUGCCCAAUGCUGUGGGGGAAGGAGCCUUGAGGGUGAGAACUGCCACAGCCACUUCCCUAACAAGGUGGCCAAUGCUGCUCAUACACAAGGGCCUUGCAGGGCAACUAAGCGCCCUGUGAUGUGAGGAAUUACCGGUGUUCUUCUAAUGUGCAGAGAUGCCAGAACUACGAGCUGCCUUAGUUCCCGGCUGCCCCGAGGGUCACCAAGAACAAUGACCAUCAGCGGACUGAUACAAAGACAAAGGGGUAUAAGUAAAACUCUUGCUGGGGUGGACAAUUAUCCCCCACUAUGCUCUCUACAUUUUUCCCUGGAAAAUAUACUGGGAGUAGAGAUUCUCUACCCAACCCAGGACACUUGGAACAGCCAGCUGUGCCUGAUGAUGGCGAGGCGGUAGGAUCAGUGCUGGCCUGGAGCUUGCCAAACCCAGGAAGCCCAGUCAAGAAGCAGGCGUGGUAACCAAGAGUACAGGACUGCUACCUCUUGGUCCCAGGCUGGGCAGUACAGCACAAGGUGGCUCUAUCAGGCCCACCAGGCAUGGGUAGGCGUGCACGUGACCUAUGGCAGUACCCCAAGACGAGGAAGUAAGUUGGCUCAUGGACAAUGACUGUGGACACAGUGAGCUAAAUAAGGCCGCGCCUCCCACAUGCACUGCUGCAUCCAACAUUGCUCUUUGGAAGAAACUACUUAUAAAAGCAAGGGGAUCAAAGUCAGACACGCCUUUAACCCCAGCACUCUGGGAGGCGGAGGCAGGCUCGAGGCCAGCCUGCUCUACAGCGUGAGUUCCAGGAGAGCCACGGCUACAGAGAGAACCCUGUCUCAAACAAACAAAGCAAUGGGAUCUUCUGAAUCUCACUAAGAGUUUUAAAAAAUAUUUCCCUAGCCACUAAAUCCUAAAACCUAUUCUCACUUGCUUGGAAUAGCUGCCGGUGGUAGGCAUUUGGAGCUCCUGUCCCCACUUUGUGAAAAAAGUUCCUUUUCACAAUGUUACAGGAUACAAUGUUAACCUCUAGACGCUCUACAUUUCACAAUGUUACAGGAUACAAUGUUAACCUCUAGACGCUCUACAUUUCACAAUGUUACAGGAUACAAUGUUAACCUCUAGACGCUCUACAUUUCACAAUGUUACAGGAUACAAUGUUAACCUCUAGACGCUCUACAGAUUUGGAAAAGCACCUAAAAGAACAGAGAAACAGAAGGUAAAGAGUGUAUCCUGGGUGUGGGGGUAUCUCCCUCUGUUACUGGCAAGGGCGACCCCUAAAGUUCCACUACACAGGCUAUAUUGCUAUUGGCUCCAUAAUAAUGGUACGUGACUCAAUGGUAAGAUCCUAUUGCUGAAAUACUGUAUGCUCGGCUUGCAGAACACGAAGGAAUCAAGCUGGGAUUGAACUAGAAGCUCACUGGCUGCUUUUCGUGGUGCCACAAAACACUAUGCUGGCUGCUGAGAGAAAACUGUCACCAACAGGCCGGCUUGGCUGUGCACUCUGUGUUAAUGUCAUGAACAUAACAGGCACAAUGUGCCUGCUGGUGAAGCAAUGGCACAUCUGUUUUGGGUACAACCAACAACUUGUCAAUGGAGGGAAACUAUGUAUGGUAUUGUAAAACAGGGCAAAAAACCCUGUGCAGGCAGGAAGGCUACUGCUACUGUUUUGUUAGAUAGUGUAUCAUUACCUGUUAGCAGUUUACCUCCUACACAUUUGUCUAAACAAGUUACCUGAGAGACUCAUAAUUGGUCAAAUUGUUGAAAACAUCUUGCUGUGCUCUGUUUUUGUUUUUUCCAGACAGGGUCUCUCUGUAUAGCCCUGGCUGUCCUGGAACUCACUUUGUAGAUCAGGCUGGCCUUGAACUCAUAAAUCCACCUGCCUCUGCCUCCCCAGUGCUGGGAUUAAAGGCGUGCGCCACCACUGGCCGGCCUUGCUGUGCUCUGUAUUGCUGCUAAGAUACAGCGACCCAGUGCUCAGCAAAUAACUAUCCAUCCAUAUAAUUCCAGGGUUCAGGAAUCACUGCAGAAGAGAAUAUAAGAAUACAAAACUCAGGAGAAGGGGUGGAGUGUUGUGGAAUUCUGUCUUCCUAGGCACGACAUGACUGUUGCCAUCUUGAAAUCUUGAUUACCUACGUGACACUCAGAAAGGGGAGAGGAGGGUGUUUAGCUCUUCAGCAAGACUCCAGCCUCUCACUCCUUCCUGCCCGAUUCUGCUACCUGUGGCUUUAGAGAACACAGGAUGUACAAGAUUGGCUGGGGACAGGAACUCCAACCGCGCAGCUUUUGUGACCAUCACACGCCUGGUGAUGCAGCUGCCCAUGUCUCCCAUAUUCUCUGAACAACUCCAGCGCAUUUGAUGGUUCACCAAGCAGGACCUGCAUGAAAUUUUCUUUGACCUCUUGAUGUCCUCUCUAUCUGAGAUGGACAGAAAUAGACUCCCAAGAAAAGUCAGACAACAGACACCCAAACCACAAGUCCCAGAUCACACACAGAGCUGGAGAGGGAACCAGGUACAACUUUCUAUGUGGCUUCUUUCUGUCCCCAUACCCAGCACCAUGGCUCUCAGGCUUGUCUGCUUUGAUCUUCUCUUUACCACUGUCACCCAAACCCAAGCCAUUGUCAUCCAACUGGAUCAACCUUCUGUUUGCCCCCUCCUCCUUCCAGUCCAGAAACCAGAGGACAUGUCUGGAACACCACAAUUGAUUCACUGCAACCAGAGAACUAGGAGAGUACAGGUCAGCUCAUAUCACUGCCUACUUAAAAUCCGUAUGAAUUUAUUUGCCAGCCUCUGUAAUGAGAGCUCAGAGCCUCCUCAAUCGGUCCCCAGCCUGUCCCAGCUCAUUGUUCCCUGGCUCCCACAGGCCUCCUACAGCUCAGUAGCUGUCAGCUAACUGCUCAUCCUUGAACACAUCCUGCUCUGUCACUUGUCUCUCCUCUCUCCCCAGAGAACACUACAAAUGUCAUAGUUAAUUCACGAAUAAAUGAAUAAAUGAAAUUGAAUAAAUAAUGGCCCCCUUUUUGUUUGUUUUUCCAGUACUAGGGAUUGAAUCCGGUGUCCUAGAUAAACGAGUAAAUGCUCUAAGUUAGAGCUGCGUGUCAAACUUCCAUUUUGCGUUUUACUUUGAGACAGGAUCUCACGGUUGCUAGGCUGGCCUUUAAUUUAUAAUCCUGCUCAGUCUUCUGAGUGGACGGCUAAGGUUACAGGCCAGGUCCAGUGGACAGUGGCUCCUACCUUCGCUGUUCAUCGCUGGUGUCUGAGGUACCCAGAAGCUAUCAACACCUGAGUAAGGCACUCUUAGGAGCUACCAGGAGUUGUUGUAGGCCCCCAGGAUCGAGAGCCCAUCUCUGUCUGAUCAGGCACCAGAAUAGGCUGCUCUCAAAGUGAUAAACUGUCUCUGGCUUUGACUUUCUCUCCUCAGCACUGGGCUGCUGCUUCUAGGCAAAGGAAAAACAGAAAUGCGGAGUGAAAAACUACGGAAGUCAUGUUCUAGCAGCCAGACACAAUGGGAAGACUGUCGUGCAAAUGACAACUGUAGGCUCGUUGGCAGAUCUGUCCCAGGACCACAGCAGGGGAGGAGGAUGGCCUGGUGCCCCUUAAUGGAACACACACAGAACUGACUGGAGACGUUUCCCUGCAUUUGUCUAGCAUAUACGAACACGAGCACAGAGAAAGACUGCAUUUGGAAACUUAGAGAAUCAUAUCUAGAACUAGUGUGUUAAGGAAACACCACGGAGACCUUGCCAUGACUUGCUUGUUUGUGCCUAGUCUCAUUCAGUUUCUUUCUAAUUUUUGUUGUUGUUGAUGUCAUUUGGUCUUUCCAGACAAGGUCUCUGUGUAUCUUGGCUGGCCUGGAACUCAUAAAGCUCUGUCUGCCUCUGCCUCUGCCUCUGCCUCUGCCUCUGCCUCUGCCUCUGCCUCUGGAGUGCUGGGAUUAAAGGCUGUGCCACCAUGUCCAGCUGUUCUGACAUAGCAUUUUUGUAUGUAGGCCAGGAAGACCUUGAAUUCACUCUCUUCCUACCUCAGCCUCUUAGAUGCUGGAUGUUGUGUGUGCGCUACCAUGCCCAGCCUCAAUUAAUUAAUAAAAACUAAAUUCCCUUGCAAGCUGCUACAAUUCUCUAUCAACAGUGUAGUCUCUAAGUAAGCUUUGGCCUAAAGUCAAGACAGGUGUGGUAGUUUGAAUAAAAGGGUGUGGCCUUGUUGGAGUGGGCGUGGUUUUGUUGGAGGAAGUACAACACUAGGGGCUUGAGGUCUCAGAAGCUUAAACUAAGCCCAGUGUCUCACUCUCUCUUCCUGCUGCAUGCUGAUCUGGAUGUAGAACUCUCAGUUACUCUCCUGCACCAUCUCACCCUGCACACCACCAUGCUUCCUGCCGCGAUGAUAAUGGACUACUGAAACCACUGAACUGUAAGCUUGCCCCGGUUUAAUGUUUUCCUUUAUAAGAGCUGAUGUGGUCAUAGCAUCCCUUCACAGCCACAGACCUUAACCAAGAGAACAGGUAAGGACGUCUCUACACCUGGUUCAGCCAAAGCAGCCUGACAGUGAAUUCGAGGACCCAGGCGACAACUGACAACAUAAGCCACUCAAGAGUGUGCCCUCUCCUGGAGGGGCGCCGAAGCUGCAGGAUUACAGCCUGGUACUGUGUCACUAGCUGAAACUAGAUGCUAUCAGAAAUCCACUGAGCUUCUUCUCAAAAUCUCCUUUCAGCUCCUGGUGUAGUAACUGUGCUCAGGACUUCAAAACAGACCUAUAUUUCCAGACCUCAGCCACUAGUGCUUCGCAGGAGGCAAACAAGGCCUAUCUGGUUGGCCUAAUUUCUUUGAGAUUGUUUUAAAAUCAUCAUCAUCAUCAUCAUCACCAUCAUCACCAUCAUCAUCACCACCACCAUCAUCACCACGUGUUGAUGAUGGUAGGUGGGGUGUGCACCUACUACAGCACAUGUGUGGAGGUCAGAGGGCAACUCCUCGUAGUCUGUUUUCUUCUACCAGGGACCAAGCCUAGGUCCUCAAGCUUAUGAUAUAAAGUCCUUUACCUGUGAGUCAGAUACCCCGCUAACCGUGCCAAAAGUGUAACACGUAUGCCGAAAGCUACACAGCUAGCACGACACUGUGAAGAACUCGCUCAAGAAUCCACUGUGAGGCCAGACCCUUCGAGGAGCAGGCAGAUCUUUGUAUGAGUUCAAGACUACCCAGGUCUACACAGUAAGUUCCAAACCAUCCAAGGGAUACACAGACCCUGUCACAAAACAAAACCCACACAAAAGAUAGUGCUAUCAUCUUGAUAUUAAAAACUUCACCUCCUCCCAAAAAUGUGUUUUUCACAGACUAAAUCAUAUACAAUCUCAAUGAUCCACUGCAUUCAAGAAAUUACUUAUUUAGCAAACUCUUUAUAUGCCUCAUUGAUGCCCACAGGUCAGGAAGCUACUUGCUGGUCUAAUUAGUAUAUCUAUUUUUCCCUUUUCUUCUUUUUAAUCCAGUCAGGGUCAUGUAGCCCAGGCUACCCUCGAAAUCACUAUAUAGCCAAGGAUGACCUUGAACUCCUGAUACCCCUGCCUUUGUUUCCCAAGAGCUGAGAUGUUAAUCACAGACCACCAUAUCUAGUCAGAUACACUUCUUGAGUAAAAUACGAGGUUUGAGCCAGCAGGUACCAAUGGUACCCAUCAGUUGGUUCAAGUCCUCUCCACUUCAAUGUACUGGCCCACAAGGAACUCUGAACCCUACAAAGGAACUCUCCUGUGCCUUGAGUGUUCAGCACCCUCAGGAUUUCAUCAAAUGCAACCAGAAGGUAUUUACAGAGUUACUCUAGACUUAUUUCCCCAAGAGAGGGGAAAGCUUAUAUUACACUACAUAAUUACUUAUAGUAAACUAUUUUACACCAAACAAAUGUAUUUUGUAUCUCUAAAUCAAACUCUUUUUUUUUUUUUUAUCCAACUCGUAUUCUGACAUUUGCAUGAAAGGAGCCGAGAGAUAGUGAUACCUAAGGGCAUUAGUGUCAUGUUAGCAAUGACCAUGACACAGUGCCAGGGACACGACAUUUGCACGUUGGCGUACAGGACAAAGCAGCACUUUGCCGUGAUUCUGAGGCUUAGCAGCUCUAAGAAUAGGCACAUUUCAGCAGCCAUGGGUGCAACCGUCCACUCACCUUACGUCCACCUCACCUCCGACGUGCAUGAGAAAAGAGCCGUCGGGUUGCUUUAGGGAGUACAAAUACUGAAGGAGUUUCUCCCUGAGAAGGGGGGGAGAGGGCAGAAAGGGCAGUAGUCAGUGCCAUACAGUAGCGGACCCUCGUAGUCCCCACCCCCGAGGCCCGCAGCUUCACCUGUUAAUGACGUUGUAGGCUUCCUCUGUGCCGAUGAUGCACAGCGCAUUGACGGCUGCAUAAGUGGGUGCGAGGUGUGGGUACUGACCGGGGCCCCCUCCAAAGCCACCGUCUGGACUCUGACACAGCUCCAGGAACUGACACACGCUAGGUGCAUGGCCAACGGGGAAAACAAAGUUAGACAGCAUUAAUUUCCAAUCUCCAAAUCCCUCUCAGAUUCUAACCUUCCCUUACUCAUUCCCCUAUCUUCAAAGGGGUGAAAAUAUCCCUUUGCCACUUGACUACAACCGCCCAAAAGACUUAACUCUUCACCCCACUCCUGUCAGUUUUGUGCACACUCCUGAGUUUUCUAUUUAAGCAUUUGUCUUGCCAGAUUGCAAACACCUUGAGGUGGGGAGGAGAUCUUUGGUAGACCUGGUGCUGAGUCCCAUGCUUCUUGACCAAACCUUUCUCUUAGGUUUCAGUAAACUUGUCACCUGGAUCUGAAGCAGUACAGUCUCUUCUGAGGACCUUUUGAUUCUGCCUCUAGCUCAGGGCUCAACUGCUGCUCUCCAUGCUAGUCACAGGUCUAGAUGCAUUACUAGACCUCAGCAGUGAGCAUACUUUCUCACCCGAGCCCUCUCCGCCAACACCCUUCUGUUCCCACCACCAGUAAGAAGCCGGUUUGAGCGCAGCCCACUCUACUGUUGGGAGGAUAAAGAGCAGAAGGCUCAAGACAGCACUGCUGGGGUCAAAUGUGAGAUGCCAACACCCGCAGGCUCGCUUAGUUGGGUAUUGGUCCCCAUCUGCUGCUGCUGCUGCUGUUUGAGGAAGUAGACCCUCACAGGAAGCUAGGACUCGGGUAGACCUAGAACAAGGCCUACUUCCUGUGCACUCUCUUCUUUCUGAGUGUACAUGUAAAGCCAGCUUCCUGUUCCUGCCACAAUGUGUUCCCUGCCAAACAGUCCCUUUCACUUUCGCCUGUAAGCUGCCUUUUUUCUUCAUUCAUUUUAUGUUUGCCACUCAGGCAUCUUAUUUAUACGUAUAACAACCCUAGAAAAAGGACCCCAGGAUGUCCCGGCCCCGUGUGCUUUUGUCUUGUUUCUUCAUGGCCCAUGAUGCCAUCUGAGGUGACGAGUACAAUGGAACUGAAUUGACAGGAUUGUGUGGCCGAUUUUCUAGGUCUUUGACUGGCACAUCAGAUCUGGGCUGGUUGCCCCACACUUGUUGAACCUGCUUGUGAGUUUACAGUGAUUUUCCCAGAUCUGAGAUCAGUGGUGAUUGCUUCCCCAUCACAGCCUGGAGCCAGACAGUGGCUUUGGAGUGCGGCCGGAUAAAGACCCGGUGUUUGCCUCUCUUUUCAGUAUUGUUGAUAUUUUAAGAGCAUCAGCCUGGACAUUCAUGAGCACCAUUACAGUAUCAAGGAAAGACAGCAGAAAGGGCUUGAGUGGCUUUUGUUGGGGGCAUUUUAUCGCCGUGAUGAGAAGGUAACUAAGUCGGGCACUGCUGACUCACACCAGAGGAGAGAUUUCCCUCCGUGAUUCUUUCCUGCUAAACGACAGAGGCUCCAGUUUCCUCACAAGGCAAACCUGUUCUGAGAGGAUUUGCUGCUGGGCCCUGGCAUCGGGUGCACUUUUGCUUCAGGUGAAAUGGAGGGAGCCUUUACUUGCACAGGGCUUUCCAGAGUUUACAGGAAAGACCACUCCAGGAAGGACCAAUUUAUAGCAUCUCUCCUUCCCUACAUCUCCCAGAUCACAGCCUUCUGAUCAGGGAGAGUUCUACCCUAGACACCUCCUGGCAAGCCCGUCUUUCUAGUGGUCAGGCCUUCUUUCUGGGCUGUUUUAUCUCAUUUAUUAUUCAUUUCCUCUUCCUUUCUUUUCUUUUUUAAAAUGAGAAACAGGAGGCUGGAGAGAUGGCUCAGUGGUUAAGAGCACUGACUGCUCUUCCGGAGGUCCUGAGUUCAAAUCCCAGCAACCACAUGGUGGCUCAAAACCAUCCAUAACAAGACCUGACUCCUUCUUCUGGUAUCUGAAGACAGCUACAGUGUACUUACAUAUAAUAAAUAAAAUAAAUCUUUUUAAAAAAAUAAAAUAAAAUGAGAAACAGUUUAUUCUGAGUCAAAUAUGAGUGACGAGAAGCCUGGGGGUUUCAGUUUGCCCUAAAGGAUAUGUUCCAACACAGAAGUAGUUACAAAAAUUUUAAAAUCUUUUUGUAAAUUAGUUUUUGAAAGUUAGCACACAACAUGGUGGGUUUAGUCAUGGCAUCUGAGCUUAUGCAUCUUAGACUGUUCUAAUUUAUCCUCUCCCCCGUCCUCCCCAGUCUGCCUGCGCUCCUCCCCUCACCCAGACAGCACCCCCUUCUGUUUUCAGCCACGUGUGUGCUCCAAUAUUAUCUUCCCCUUUCCCUUAAGCUCUCUUCCUUCCUUUGUAUGAUCUUUCCAGUUGUAUGACUUCAUACAUACAGAAUGCAGGCAUAUAUGUAACUUUAAACCCAUCAGCUCAUUAUUACUUAUUCUCUGCUGCCAGGGAGACCAUAAAGGCUAAUUUCCAUAAAGUCUGAAGUUCAUUGCUCCACACCCACAGCAUACAGUUUUCUUUCUUGAGACAAGGUCUCGUGUGUCCCAGGCUACCCUCCAGCUUACUAUGGAGCUGAGACCGACCUUGAACUUCUGACCCACCUCCUCCUGCCCCCCUUCCUCCCAACCCCCCACUCCCACACCACCCCGAGCCGCCCCUACCUUCACCUCCAAAGUAUUCAGAUCACAGAUGUGGUUCAUGAGGGGCUGGGGGUCUCUAACUACUAAGAUUCAUCAGCAGGCCUCUGUUUUCUGGUUUGGUUUGCUUUGUUCUUUUGAGGCAGGGUCUCUCUCUCUACAGCUCAGUGUGGCCACAAGCUCAGCAAUUAGUCAGCUACAGCCUCCCACGUGCUAUGAUUACUGGUGUGACCAUCACACCGUUACUUUUAAUUCCAGGCUUUCCAUUAUGUACACAGGUACAGCCACAGACUGGCUGUUCUAGUCUUCACAGGUUAAGACAAUUCUUUUUGCUUCUCCUUAGACCUAAAAUCCUUAUUCAAGGAUUGAAACUAGAGUUUAUAGUCAGAAAAUCAAGCAAUCAUAGAGUACAUU